UCAAAAAAAAAAAAAAAUCCAGCCACGUAGAGAUUUGGGAAAAGAGUAUUUCCAAUAGAGUGAACAGAUUUCAAAUAUGCGUGCAUUAGAGAAUGAUUUUUUCAAUUCUCCCCCAAGAAAAACUGUUCGGUUUGGUGGAACUGUGACAGAAGUCUUGCUGAAGUACAAAAAGGGUGAAACAAAUGACUUUGAGUUGUUGAAGAACCAGCUGUUAGAUCCAGACAUAAAGGAUGACCAGAUCAUCAACUGGCUGCUAGAAUUCCGUUCUUCUGUCAUGUACUUGACAAAAGACUUUGAGCAACUUAUCAGUAUUAUAUUGAGAUUGCCUUGGUUGAAUAGAAGUCAAACAGUAGUGGAAGAGUAUUUGGCUUUUCUUGGUAAUCUUGUAUCAGCAUAGACUGUUUUCCUCAGACCGUGUCUCAGCAUGAUUGCUUCCCAUUUUGUGCCUCCCUGAGUGAUCAUUAAGGAAGGCGAUGUAGAUGUUUCAGAUUCUGAUGAUGAAGAUGAUAGAAUGUUACGUUCAUAACUUACUAAGGAUUAGUGUAUAUUUUCCAACCUUGAGGCAUGAAAUUCUGGAGCUUAUUAUUGAAAAACUACUCAAGCUGGAUGUGAAUGCAUCCCGGCAGGGUAUUGAAGAUGCUGAAGAAACAGCAAAUCAAACUUGUGGUGGGACAGAUUCCACGGAAGGAUUGUUUAAUAUGGGAUUCGCAGAGGCAUUUUUGGAACAUCUUUGGAAAAACUUGCAGGAUCCAAGUAAUCCUGCCAUCAUCAGGCAGGCUGCUGGAAAUUAUAUUGGAAGCUUUUUGGCAAGAGCUAAAUUUAUUUCUCUUAUUACUGUAAAACCAUGCCUAGAUCUUUUGGUUAACUGGCUGCACAUAUACCUUAAUAACCAGGAUUCGGGAACAAAGGCAUUCUGCGAUGUUGCUCUCCAUGGACCAUUUUACUCAGCCUGCCAAGCUGUGUUCUACACCUUUGUUUUUAGACACAAGCAGCUUUUGAGCGGAAACCUGAAAGAAGGUUUGCAGUAUCCUCAGAGUCUGAAUUUUGAGCGGAUAGUGAUGAGCCAGCUAAAUCCCCUGAAGAUUUGCCUGCCCUCAGUGGUUAACUUUUUUGCUGCAAUCACAAAGAUGAAGACUUGUGGAUAUGGAUGGUGGUGAUGGUUGCACAACAAUAUCAAUUUAUUUUAUACCACUGAACCGUGCACUUCAAAAUGGUUAAGAUGGUAAGUUUUAUGUUGUGUAUUUUACCAUAAUAAAAAAAAUUGUAGAGGGAAAAACAGUCUGCCUCCACUUUUGAUAUGGGACUGCUAACAUCUUCCACCCUCCCUCUCCCCCUCUGCCCCACAUCUGGGCAAGCUAAGAAAGCCUGCUGCUCUCUCCUCUGGCACCAGCUGGAAAUUCAUACCCAACAAGCCCUAGCCCUCCCACCAGACCCACAUUUCAUCCCCAUCCCCAUCGCAUCCCCAUCCCCAUCCCCAUCCCUAACCACCAUAAAUGCUAAGGGAGUUUCCUUGCCUGGUUUUCUGAAACCAUUUUUGGACCUGCUUGGGAAUCUGCCCUGCUCUCUCAGAAAGCUUCAUUAUAUGAGCAAUAAACCUUUUCCUACCCUC
Molecule: RNA transcript, 1609 nt
Organism: Homo sapiens (human)
Lineage: Eukaryota; Metazoa; Chordata; Mammalia; Primates; Hominidae
Gene: RRN3P1
Gene name: RRN3 pseudogene 1
Exons: 12
Source: RefSeq, marked validated